Molecule: ribosomal RNA, 451 nt
Filed under: uncultured bacterium
Lineage: Bacteria
Description: partial 16S ribosomal RNA
Rfam family: Bacterial small subunit ribosomal RNA
Source: RNAcentral
GUGGGGAAUAUUGGACAAUGGGCGCAAGCCUGAUCCAGCCAUGCCGCGUGUGUGAAGAAGGCCUUUUGGUUGUAAAGCACUUUAAGCGAGGAGGAGGCUCCUUUAGUUAAUACCUAAAGUGAGUGGACGUUACUCGCAGAAUAAGCACCGGCUAACUCUGUGCCAGCAGCCGCGGUAAUACAGAGGGUGCGAGCGUUAAUCGGAUUUACUGGGCGUAAAGCGUGCGUAGGCGGCUUUUUAAGUCGGAUGUGAAAUCCCUGAGCUUAACUUAGGAAUUGCAUUCGAUACUGGAAAGCUAGAGUAUGGGAGAGGAUGGUAGAAUUCCAGGUGUAGCGGUGAAAUGCGUAGAGAUCUGGAGGAAUACCGAUGGCGAAGGCAGCCAUCUGGCCUAAUACUGACGCUGAGGUACGAAAGCAUGGGGAGCAAACAGGAUUAGAUACCCCGGUAGUCC